UACGAAGGGGGCUAGCGUUGCUCGGAAUUACUGGGCGUAAAGCGCACGUAGGCGGAUUGUUAAGUCGGGGGUGAAAUCCUGGAGCUCAACUCCAGAACUGCCUUCGAUACUGGCGAUCUCGAGUUCGGGAGAGGUGAGUGGAACUGCGAGUGUAGAGGUCAAAUUCGUAGAUAUUCGCAAGAACACCAGUGGCGAAGGCGGCUCACUGGCCCGAUACUGACGCUGAGGUGCGAAAGCGUGGGGAGCAAACAGG
Molecule: ribosomal RNA, 253 nt
Filed under: uncultured bacterium
Lineage: Bacteria
Description: partial 16S ribosomal RNA
Rfam family: Bacterial small subunit ribosomal RNA
Source: RNAcentral